GCGCAACAGUGUGCAAUGGCACGCGAUCUGCGGCAAUUGAAUAUUUGCCUUGCAGUCAGACACCAUGUCUGCAUACUAUGCAGUAUCUCUGUCUCUUAUUUGUGAUAAUCGCGAGUUUGGCACAGGAUACGUAUACGCAUCUUUCAGCAAGGCACAACAUGAUUGUCUGUACAAAGCUUUGUACUUAGUUUGUACAUCAACAAACAACACCGUGUGACAUGUGCUAUCAUGGUGCGUGUAGGAUUGCAGUCCAACAUGCACAAAGCUGUCCCUGAGAUUCUCAACCUUGAGAUCAAUCAGAAUGAUUACACGAUGAAUUUUGAGAAUGGCACUCACUUGUCUCAAGCAAAAAGUCUGACACACGUGACAUUUGUACAGCCGGUCACUUAAUGAGGCUCCCACAUGCCCAGCGCAUGUACAGCAUGCUGUGAGCACUCACAAUCACCCUCGGAAUCAUGCACGUGUGGCAAAUUGCAUGUGCCUUUUCGCGCAGGAACAAGUGGCAAACUGCAUAGUUCAAACCGCUUAAAGUUCAGCCAAGUGUGCACAUGUUGCAUGCCAGCCACAUCCUACAACACCCGCUGCUUCCAUAUUCCAACUUUGAGCCAGGCACUUUGCAACCACACAUCCAGUGAAUAUCACUGAUUUAUAGUGAUCCAGAUAUUUGGAUGAGCCCUCACCUGCCAUGGACGGAUGGCAGACCUCGAUGCAGAUCCUCGCUACACUGAACACCGCAGCCAACGCUGAAGAGGUGACUCAUAUGUUAGCAGGUGCCCUUUAGAAGCGCCCAAGUGGCCGAAAGCAGACUGAUAGGAGGGCAGAGAAGCACUUGUGACACCGGGAAACACUGGAGAGGUGAGCACUCAGUAGUAACAGCCUCCCAAUGACCCCUGUGAGAGCCCCACACGAAUGGCUCCGUGAGUAACUUAUUUGCACUUGCGCUUUGCACACACAUACACAGUGCGUCCCACCUCAAUCUGUUAAACACUCAAAAUCUGGUUCUGAAAUAGAUGUCCAAGUUGUGUCAGGAAGCAAUCCACCAACUUCUCUUACAUUGCACCCACAGUAUUGCAACGAGCACCCCUAUGUACAGCAUGUGACUGGAAGCCGACAACACCUUCUUGCUUGAAACACCCACUUCACCCGGUGGCGCCAGCAAGGCAAUAAAAGUAUACCUGUGUCACGCUCUUGAAGUUCAUGCGGAGAGCAGGGCAGAGCAGUGCAAUGGAGAGGAGUGCAGAGCAGACGUGCAAACACUGGUGAGGUUACGGCCCCCUCCUCACAGCAUCCUACUCCUCCCUUUCAGUUGCAUUGAGCCCAGCCCAUGCGCUGCCGCCAGUCAGGCACAGCUGUUCUGCUGACGCCUACUACGCAGGCAGCUGAUAUUGUCCGCUCGUGGCUGAUCUUCAAGGAGACGGGCUGCGGCGGGGUGAGACGCGGCGGGGUGAGACGCUGCGGCGCGGGGGAGUUCCGCUGCACAGGUGCACAAUCUUCUGUCAGAACCGUGGCAGCAGUGUCCGGCGCUCUU
This 1528-nucleotide long non-coding RNA is filed under the name Coccomyxa subellipsoidea. RNAcentral's name for it is "long non-coding RNA (CSUB_LNC000353)". The record is from RNAcentral. Lineage: Eukaryota; Viridiplantae; Chlorophyta; Trebouxiophyceae; Coccomyxaceae.